Molecule: long non-coding RNA, 521 nt
Filed under: Bos taurus (domestic cattle)
Lineage: Eukaryota; Metazoa; Chordata; Mammalia; Artiodactyla; Bovidae
Description: long non-coding RNA NONBTAT022532
Source: RNAcentral
UAAUAAUAUGGUAUCACCAUCCCUCCCUAAUCCUGAAUUCCCCUUUAACAGAAUUGUCUUAAAUGUUGAUUUGCUUCUGUACACCGUUUUCCAAGUCAUGAAGAUUUCAAGUUUAGCAUACUCAAGGUGCUUCUCUUGGGAAAUUUAGAAAAAGAGGGAACUAGGCUUGGGAAAUGGGAAAUAACACAGAGUGGUUUAAAGAGCAGGAGUAGAAGCUUCUAGAGAACAGUGUUAGGAAAGAGACCUCUAGCACCUAUAGUGGUGAGAGAGCCAAAAUUGGAUUAUCCCUGGGACCCCAGGAAACAGGGUUUUGUCCUAAGAAGUAACUGAUACCUUGAGCCCAUUUUGUAAGUAAAUAGGAUAUAUUCUGAAUUCAUUUCAGUCUCAAGAAUUAAAAAACUAUCUACUCUGAAAAUCAUUUGUUGCAAGUCUUAUCCAAAUAAUUUGUUAAGAAACUACUCGGAACAAAGAAUAAAGGCAAAUAUCUUGAAAGUUAAAUUCCUCCCCUAACCUUUAAAAAA